Molecule: non-coding RNA, 522 nt
Organism: Procambarus clarkii (red swamp crayfish)
Lineage: Eukaryota; Metazoa; Arthropoda; Malacostraca; Decapoda; Cambaridae
Source: RefSeq, a predicted model, not a curated record
ACCAACAGAGCCUUCAUGCGACCGUAUUACCAGUGCGUGUAAAGCCCUGGGAGGCUACUGUAGCAACACAUGCACUCCAAAUGAGGAUCCACACUACUCUCUCUGCAAUAGUAAAGAAUGCUCCUGCUGUGUUGAAAAGCCCUCGUGCGGAAUUACCACUAGUGCGUGUUCAGCCCAGGAAGGCUACUGUAGCGACUCGUGCAACGUAAAUCAGAAUGCACUCUCCAAUCUGUGCAACACUGCAAACUGCUCCUGCUGCGUUCAGAAGCCCUCGUGCAACAUCCCAACCAACGCGUGUACAGCCAUAAGAGGCUACUGUAGUGACACGUGCAAAGCAAAUGAAAAUUCAUUUGAAAAUCUCUGCAACACUGCAGACUGCUCCUGUUGCGUUCAAAAGCCAUCGUGCAGCAAUUCCACCAGUGCGUGUUCAGCCCUGGGAGGCUACUGUAGCAACACAUGUGGUGUAAAUGAGGAUCCACACUACUCUCUCUGCAAUACUAUAGACUGCUUCUGCUGUGUUCA